RNAcentral lists this long non-coding RNA (3192 nucleotides) under Lynx pardinus (Iberian lynx). The record is from RNAcentral. Lineage: Eukaryota; Metazoa; Chordata; Mammalia; Carnivora; Felidae.
GUUUAAGUCCAGUUAACUAUUAACUUCUCAGUGUGAUAGGUUCCUUCUUUUGUGCUGCAUAAGCCCUGUUCUGACGUGUACUGGAGAACUAGCCUUAGAAAGCCUGCAGUUUGCAUAAUUAAAGAGUCGAUGGGAAAAAGAAGGCAUUAAGAUAACAAUAGACAUCAGGAAAAGAGUGGGGCUGAAGAUCUCUGCUGUUCUGUGUCAUGCUUAAAGACCCCAGCAGACAGCCGGCCGACCUAGCUCAGGUACGUAGCUGUACCACCCUGCUGGCCUUCGGGGUGGGGACAAGAGGGCAGGGAGGGGGUGAUGGCCCGGCAGAGCUGGGAGGGUGCCGUACCACUGCUCCGUGGAAGAUUCCGGAACAGCCUUGCUCUCACUGUCCUUGGAUCAAUUGAAUUACAGUCGCCACUUAAUUAACCUGAGGCUUAUCAGGAACCUUAUUUACCUGUUCCUGGAGAAUGACCUUGGGGUGAGCCACCCACACUUCUUAAGCCCCUCUGAGCCCACUCCUAAGCCAAAGAACCUAGACUAUGUGCCGACAGGGCAGCUCUGGUCUUGCCUAACAAUCGCUUUGUCUAUUAAUUGUAGCAAAACAACAAAUAACAAUGGGGCAUUUUGUUGGGACUUUUUAAGGGUGGAAUGUGAAGUUCUACUUCAAUGGGACUACUUGUUUUGAUCGCUGUGCCUUUUCCUAAAGUAAGCAGCCCUUUCGGGGUCUUUUCCUACCCCUGGCCCCUUCCUCAGCUUUCUCUCUUUCAGGUGGACUUCUGGUCAUUAAUGAGGUCUCAGGGUCUUUUGAGGCCAACAGGAAAUUCAUCCCAAAGCAGCCUCCUCAAAAACUCAGAUGUCAGUUUUCAGAUUAGAAAUAUUACAUGAUGAAUGAGAUUUUUUUUUUUAACUUGCGUUUUCAGUUUGCUGACGGCGAUGUUGAAAUUGUUGCCUAAUAGGGCAGGCUCCGUGCCGAGGCACAGCCCAGCAAACCGGGAGGCAGGGGACAGGGCUGGCGUUCACUUCCGUCCUGUCACCCACCCCGCCUGGCCUUUCUCCCGAGCCGUCCUCCACCCACUGCACCCCAUCCUGGGGUGCUGUUGCAGGGUCUCGGCUCCAGGGACCCUUAGGGUCCUCUCUCCUGCCCCAGCUACACGUGGCCUCCGGCUGGGCGGGCAGGAUAUCUCCACGGCCACUUCCAUUUGAACAGCAGACCGACUGGGAAAUUCGUGUUCCCAAAGAACGCUUACCUAAUAGCGGAAUGUCAGCCUUAGGAAGGCACCUGGUGAGGGAAGAUAGUUUUAUGCUACUUCCACCUCUUCUGAUAUUACUCUGGCCCCGAUAACACGCAUUAUAUUUCUAAAUUUAGAACGCAGUUCAGAGUAAUGGGCCAAGAGAUACAGCAAAUUAAUUCUGGGUCUGAUUUUACGACUGCCUCUGUGUGAACUCAGACAAACUGUGUAAAUUCUUUGGGCCUCAGUUUCCUCUCCUGUGAAGUAAGAGGGUAUGGAUAGACGAUAUUUGAUUACUGUACUCUAUCCCCAAUCCCCUCAGUGUUAGAUAGACAUUUAGACAUUUGUUCUGGAACUUUAAAAUGCUUUUGGAUUCCAACCAAUUUGAUUUGAUUAAUAGAAUUCUAUUUCUUAGAAAUAUCACAAAAGCUCGUCAAAUUUUCACGUUUUCUGAUUUCUCUAGAAUUUUCUUGCUUUGUGGCUGUUUCAAUCUGAAUAGGUCAAACAAUUAACAGAGAAAUAGCACACACACACACACACACACACACACACACACUGGGCAUAAUUCUAACACAACCUACUCAUUCAGAGUUUCAAGGUUUCUAAUUUUGUUUGUGACCCAAGCUUAACAUUUUUUUUUCAAUUGAAGUAUAAUUGACAUACAAUAUUCUAUUAGUUUCAGGUGUAUAUCAGAGUGAUUUGCUAUUUCUACACAUUAUAAAAGGAUCCCCGUGAUAAGUCUUAUUACCAUCUGCAACUAUACAAAGUUAUUGCGGUAUUAUUGACUCUCUUUCCUGUGCUGUAUGUUAUAUCCCCACGACCUGACUUAUUUCAUUACUGGACAUUUGUACCUCUUAAACCCCUGCACUUGUUUGACCCGCCCCCGACCCCUCCCUCCUCUGGUAACCAACAUUUUGUUUCCUGUAUCUGUGAGUCAUUUCUGUUUUGUUCUGUUUGUUCAUUUUUUAACAAUUUUUUGGUUCCACGUGUAAGUGGCCUCAUAGACUUUUUGUCUUUCUCGGACUUAUUUCACCUGGCAUAAUGCCCUGUGCAUACAUCUGUGGUGUCACAAAUGACAAGACUGCAUUCUUGUUUACGGCUGAGUAAUAUUCCGUUGCAUAUGUGUAUAUAUAUGGACACACACGAACCACAGUGUUGGUUCGGAUAAACACCCUGAAGCGGAACUGCUGGCUGGUUUUCUAAGUGACCGCUAAGGAUUUAAUAUGGCCGCUAUGAGCCUUUGGUUUUAUUAAGAGCCAGAUCCUUUGCUAAUUACAUCUUCUUCUUGUCAACAGGUUAAAAACUUCUUUGUGAACCCUUGAGGAAAGCACCGGUGAAUUGCCCCUCAGGAGAUAAACUAGCUGAAAAAUAAAGGAUCCAGCCGGCAAUGGCUGAGCCAGAAUCUAGGAGCAGAAAGAUGGCGGGCUGAAACAUUCAGAUGCUAACUCAAGGCGCCAGUCAGGUCUCUCCAGAAAGAGAGCCCCCAUCCUCUCCAACAGGCUCUCCCCUCCGGCUGCCCCAGACUUACUCUCCUCUGACCCACACUCCUCACGGCGGGUUCUUGUCACCAAAUACCACAUACCCAAUCAGAGCCUCACUUCCCCAGUCAGCUGUACCUCCUUUUGCCAUGUUAUUCUCUGCGGAACGGUUCCCACCCUCUGACAUUUCCCGCUCCUCAAUUUGUCCCCUUGCUUGUCUCUUUCCUACCCCUAGACUCAACUCCGGGAGGCAGCGUCCCUGCCUUGUUUGGAGACAGGUGCCUGGCACAUGUUCGGUAAUCGAUACACACUUAUAGAAUAUUCAAGAAUGGAUAGAAUGCUUGCCAAUAACAGCAGAGUAUGGCUUAUCUCAUGCAAGCAAGGCCUUCAUUCCAUCUACAAGUCACAAGUCACUUGUCUCUCCGAGCUUAGGGUCUUGUGAGGCAGGUUAAGAAGACACCCCUGGGAGCCCAUUGUGGUUUGGAGAAGUA